RNAcentral lists this ribosomal RNA (402 nucleotides) under Clostridioides difficile. RNAcentral describes it as "bacterial LSU rRNA". It matches the Rfam family "Bacterial large subunit ribosomal RNA", at positions 2521 to 2925 of the family's 2925-position model. Lineage: Bacteria; Bacillati; Bacillota; Clostridia; Peptostreptococcales; Peptostreptococcaceae. The record is from RNAcentral.
GCACCUCGAUGUCGGCUCAUCACAUCCUGGGGCUGUAGUAGGUCCCAAGGGUUGGGCUGUUCGCCCAUUAAAGUGGUACGCGAGCUGGGUUCAGAACGUCGUGAGACAGUUCGGUCCCUAUCCGUCGCAGGCGUAGGAAAUUUGAGAAGACCUGUCCUUAGUACGAGAGGACCGGGAUGGACGUACCUCUGGUGUACCAGUUGUUCUGCCAAGGGCAUGGCUGGGUAGCUAUGUACGGAAUGGAUAAGCGCUGAAAGCAUCUAAGCGCGAAGCCAACUUCAAGAUAAGAUUUCCCACCGUAAGGGUAAGACCCCAGAAAGACUAUCUGGUUGAUAGGUCGAAGGUGUAAGUGCAGCAAUGUAUUUAGCUUAUCGAUACUAAUAGGUCGAGGACUUGACCAAU